This 253-nucleotide ribosomal RNA is filed under the name uncultured bacterium. RNAcentral describes it as "partial 16S ribosomal RNA". It matches the Rfam family "Bacterial small subunit ribosomal RNA", at positions 524 to 776 of the family's 1533-position model. The record is from RNAcentral.
UGCGGAGGGGGCUAGCGUUGAUCGGAAUUACUGGGCGUAAAGCGCGUGUAGGCGGGUCCUUAAGUCGGGGGUGAAAGCCCGGGGCUCAACCUCGGAACUGCCUUCGAUACUGAGGACCUGGAGUCUGGGAGAGGUGAGCGGAAUUCCGAGUGUAGAGGUGAAAUUCGUAGAUAUUCGGAGGAACACCAGAGGCGAAGGCGGCUCACUGGACCAGUACUGACGCUGAGACGCGAAAGCGUGGGGAGCAAACAGG